CAUCUUUUAUAGGAUGUUACUUUUCAGUGAAUACAUAGCUGAUUAGAGGUAGACGCAGAGAACUGAAACAUCUAAGUACCUGCAGGAAGAGAAAGAAAAAUCGAUUCCCUGAGUAGCGGCGAGCGAAACGGGAAAAGCCCAAACCAAGAGGCUUGCCUCUUGGGGUUGUAGGACUCCGAUAUGGUAGUCCAGUGAGAUAGUCGAAGGACCUGGAAAGGUCUGCUAGAAAGGGUAAAAGCCCCGUAGACAAAAUUUGACUGGCACCUAGGAGGAUCCUGAGUACGGCGGAACACGAGGAAUUCCGUCGGAAUCCGGGAGGACCAUCUCCCAAGGCUAAAUACUCCCUAGUGACCGAUAGUGAACCAGUACCGUGAGGGAAAGGUGAAAAGCACCCCGGAAGGGGAGUGAAAUAGAUCCUGAAACCGUGUGCCUACAACAAGUUAGAGCCCGUUAAUGGGUGAUAGCGUGCCUUUUGUAGAAUGAACCGGCGAGUUACGAUUACUUGCGAGGUUAAGUUGAAAAGACGGAGCCGCAGCGAAAGCGAGUCUGAAUAGGGCGAAUGAGUAAGUGGUCGUAGACCCGAAACCAUGUGAUCUACCCAUGUCCAGGUUGAAGGUGCGGUAAAACGCACUGGAGGACCGAACCCACGUACGUUGAAAAGUGCGGGGAUGAGGUGUGGGUAGCGGAGAAAUUCCAAACGAACUUGGAGAUAGCUGGUUCUCUCCGAAAUAGCUUUAGGGCUAGCCUCAGAGUAAGAAUGAUGGAGGUAGAGCACUGUUUGGACUAGGGGCCCAUCUCGGGUUACCGAAUUCAGAUAAACUCCGAAUGCCAUCCAUUCAUCUCUGGGAGUCAGACUGUGAGUGAUAAGAUCCAUAGUCGAAAGGGAAACAGCCCAGACCACCAGCUAAGGUCCCCAAAUAACUAUUAAGUGGAAAAGGAUGUGGGGUUGCACAGACAACUAGGAUGUUGGCUUAGAAGCAGCCACCAUUUAAAGAGUGCGUAAUAGCUCACUAGUCGAGUGACCCUGCGCCGAAAAUGUACCGGGGCUAAAUAGUUUACCGAAGCUGUGGAA
Molecule: ribosomal RNA, 1072 nt
Filed under: Enterococcus avium
Lineage: Bacteria; Bacillati; Bacillota; Bacilli; Lactobacillales; Enterococcaceae
Description: partial 23S ribosomal RNA
Rfam family: Bacterial large subunit ribosomal RNA
Source: RNAcentral